This 254-nucleotide ribosomal RNA is filed under the name uncultured bacterium. RNAcentral describes it as "partial 16S ribosomal RNA". It matches the Rfam family "Bacterial small subunit ribosomal RNA", at positions 524 to 776 of the family's 1533-position model. The record is from RNAcentral.
UACGGGGGGGGCAAGCGUUGUUCGGAAUUACUGGGCGUAAAGGGCUCGUAGGCGGCCAACUAAGUCAGACGUGAAAUCCCUCGGCUUAACCGGGGAACUGCGUCUGAUACUGGAUGGCUUGAGUUUGGGAGAGGGAUGCGGAAUUCCAGGUGUAGCGGUGAAAUGCGUAGAUAUCUGGAGGAACACCGGUGGCGAAGGCGGCAUCCUGGACCAACACUGACGCUGAGUGAGCGAAAGCUAGGGUAGCGAACGGG